Molecule: long non-coding RNA, 716 nt
Filed under: Homo sapiens (human)
Lineage: Eukaryota; Metazoa; Chordata; Mammalia; Primates; Hominidae
Description: HSALNT0209345
Source: RNAcentral
GGGGGGAGGAGGCGAACCUCAUAAUAGUUGUGCCCUGUGGGGAAGACUUCUGUUGGGCUGGCGAGAAGAGAAGGGGCCGAAACUUGCUUUUUGCUGAAAGGAAGAGACGGUGUCUUCCUAUGUUGCCCAGGCUGGGCUUGAACUCCUGGGCUCAAGCGAUCCUUCUGCCUCGGCCCCCCAAAAUGCUGAAAUUACGGGUGUCAGCCACCACGCCUGGCCUACGUGAGUCAUAUUAACAGCUAAAUAAGCCUCUUGCCAGUUUUACAACCUAGGAAGGUUUUCCCUUGAGGGCCUUGAAGCCACCAACUCAAAAGGAUCAACACACCCAGCUAAAACAGCUCAACUUCCUCAUCACACAACACAGUUCUGGCCAGUUAGACACACGUCCCCGGAAAGGGCAUCUCCAGGAGAAUAAAAAGGCCAAGCCACUUUUUGAAGAAAGUCUUUGUCCCUACCCCCUUUUUCUACCUGGAAGUCAGACUCAGGCCUGGAGUGUAGCGGCCGCCUUGGUACCUGGAAGCAACAAUCAUGGCCGGGAGACCUUACACCUGGCAUGGUAGAGCAGACGGAGGAGGGGCCGCCUGGUGAAUAGCCUGGCCAACAGCCCCAAACUGCUACCCCUUAAAUUCUGGAUUUCAGGUGACUGCUGUAACUUGAAGCAAGAAAAGUGAAACUACAGAAAAGGGAGGACCACUGGACGGCUGCUUUCAUUCUAC